CCUACGGGAGGCAGCAGUGGGGAAUCUUCCGCAAUGGGCGAAAGCCUGACGGAGCAACGCCGCGUGAGCGAAGAAGGUCUUCGGAUUGUAAAGCUCUGUGAUAUUGGACGAACAAUUUCCCGUAAAUAAUGGGAAGGAAUGACGGUACAAUAAGAGGAAGCCACGGC
This 167-nucleotide ribosomal RNA is filed under the name uncultured bacterium. RNAcentral's name for it is "partial 16S ribosomal RNA". It matches the Rfam family "Bacterial small subunit ribosomal RNA", at positions 338 to 497 of the family's 1533-position model. The record is from RNAcentral.